CUCUUCGUCUUUUCUCCAUGAUAGGCUUUGAUGACUGUAAAGAAAAAAAAAAAAAGAGCGCUGAGUUCCCAUGGGACCUGCCAUUUCACCCCUCGAUUUUAAGGGAGAAAGGAGCCCCCAACCCCGUCUUAAUCUCUUGGGGCUGCAAGAGAUGCAGAUUCCCUGCAGCCUGCCAGGGACGUGGUAGCUGCCCUGCCAAAGAGCUAUCCUGGGAGGGCUAUUGAAAGAGCUUUGAGCACUUGAGCGGCUCUGCACCCAGCAUUUGGAUGGAGAAAGGGAUAGGCAAGAAAGCCAAGUGUCUACCCACAGAAGAGGAUUCAGGAAUGCUUGCAGCAAGAGUCCUGGUUGCCAUGCAGUGGCAUUCGAAACGACCGCAACUCUGCAUUCCAUCUUUGAUAAAAAUAAGUUGCUACUUCUAAACAAAACUGCCUAGUUGGUUUCUGGCCAAGCUGGGACCUCGAACUGCAAAUCGCGGGUGACGGUGGAAAAACAGAAACUUUUCAGCAUUGGCUCCUAGCAGGCUGUAAUGCUUUCUGCUUCCCCCCAGCCCUUUGGAAAACUUGACCACAGCCAGUGGGACCAAGGGAAUGUGCACUUUUCUAAUGGGCCCCAAAAGAGGAUGGUUGCCAGGAAAGCCUUUCCCAUGGGGCGGGGGCAGGGCACCGGGGACAGCUUAACUCCCACAUUUGGCCACAGCAGCCAUGGCGGGCAGGCUCUAAAUGUGCUCUCAACUAACCUUUUACUCUCUGAGCAGGGCUGCAGUGAGGCAAGCCUGCAAGCCCAGGGAUGAAGGCGGGCAUUUCUGAGGGAUUGCACGGUUGCUGACUUGCACGCUUGUGUGUAAAAGGCUCAGAACUGCAUGGGGGCUGGUGCCUGUAGGGGCCUCUGGAAGACUCAGGAAGGUGGGGGGAAGUCUUAGCCCCUUUAAACCCAGGACAUGGGUUUGCUGGGCUUGCUGAUAGCUGCUCAAAUUGUGACAUCAGAUCAAGCUUCUCAAAAAAUCAAAAACAAAAACAAUGCAGCUAACCAAGAGAAUCAUUUGGAUAAAACCUAGGGCCAGAAAGUGAUAUGGGAUGAGUGUAUAAGGCAUAUUUUAAAUCAAAGUCUCUGUCAUUGUUACCCUUGCUUAUUUUCCUCGGCUUAUAGGAAAGGGGUAGGGGAGGCAAAGUAAGAGACCUAACAGGUGGCUUAAUGGGUCCGUUCAUUGAAUGCAUAGGAAAAUUGAACCUAGGAAGAAAUGACUGGACUAAGGUUUAACAGCCUCCCCAGAGAGGGAGGAGAAGGCCAGAAUUAGGCUCGAGUUUCCUACCCACCAGUCCAGAAACCCGCCCCUCUGUAUCUGUAUGAGAAGAACGUUUUGAAAUAUCAUCUACAGCAAGUGACUAACAUUACCACCAAAGAUGGAUUUUCCGGUUGAGAAUCAGAGCUACCUGCUGGUAGGCGAGUGUGGUGGUGUGACAGAAUAUGCCCAGCACAUUUAACCACAGCGUGGUUAAAUGCCAGGCUUGCUGCACCGUGAUUCCCUCUAGAAUUUGCUCACCACCCUGUGACCUCUGGAAAAGAAGAGAUCUUGAUUUCUGAGUUCCAGGAGACAGGAAGCUGCUCGCCGGGGCCACACAGAAAAGCAGAGGGAGAGGUGAGAAAAAGAAUGAAUUUUUCCAAGUGGUAGAGAGAUGGUAUUUGCAUGUGAGAUAUACAUUUUCCUUUUAUGUAUCAGGUUUAGGGAACAAGAAAAGACAGUCCGGGCAGCUGCCACAACUGCCACUUAAGACUCUGGUGGGUUCUAGCAUUUCGGGAGCUUCUGGUCUCUUCCACAGAGUUGGAGGGCACCUGUCUUCUUGCCUUGUAGUAUUUGACAGUGGACAAAGCACUUUAUAGUUCAUUACAGCAUUCUGUCCUCAUAUAUAGCCUUAUAACCUAGCCUAGAAAGACAUGGUGGAAGGCCCAGGGAUGGGGAGAGAGAGGAUUCAGGUGAUUAGUUCAGGAGACCAUGGGCUAUUGAGGGCACAGGAUAUAGGAUAGACAAGCUUCCUGGAAAGUUGUACCUCUAGAGAAACAGGGCAGGGAGCUUAGAGGCCGGGAGAGAACAAACUUUCCUUUCUCAGCCACCGGCAAGAAUAAGAUGUCAAGAAACUGGAACAGAGGGAAGAAGGGAGAUGACUGUCAAUUUGUUAGAGAGUAUCAGUAAUCCGCAGGACACAUCUUGGGCGGGGAGCAAGGAGGAAGGGUACUUUCUUGUGGCAGGAAGCCAGGGUGGAGAAGGUGAAGGGAAGGAAUCCCACUUAGGAGGAAGAUGACUGAGCAGGUUCCGGAAAGGACAUGGAAAGGUGAUGAGCAUAGUUUUCACUGGGCUGAGCUGCUUAGUUCAGCAUCUGGUACCUUCUGAGAGGCUUCCUGGAAAAUCUCAGGAAGGGAGACCGGGUCUGUGCCUGAGGGCGCUUGUAGAACUCUGGAACUGGUAUCACUCUUCCUCACUGGUUAUUUGUUCUAUGCUUUUGUAUUGCUAUAGGCAUAACACAAGAGCCCACAGACUGGAAAAAGCGGUGGGAUUGUUUGGGGGUGAUGGCAGGGAAUGGGGGCAGUAUGGAGACUGCAUCCUGCUCUGUAGCCAGUCUGAGGGUGGUCGUCCUCUAGAGGAGGCGGCAGGGUGACUCAGCGGAGGGGGAGGCAAGCACAUCAAAUUCUUCUAGUGCCAGGGGAAGGACCGAGGACCCAGGGUUCAUCUCCAGCUCCCUGACCGUGUGGGCAAUUGCCCACAUAUUGCAGUGCAUUCUGGGUCCCCUCAGCCCAACUCUGCCUCUACUCUGGAAAGUAGGGGAGAGGAAGCUCCUUUUGCAGGGCUGGGCUUCUACAGGCCCCUUGACUGAAAUCGGAGAGGAGCCUGGAGGCUGUGAGUGGUGACACCUCCUGCCUGACCGAUGGAGCUCUCUUGAUAAAGUCCCUGAGCGUCGGCUGUCUCCUGGAGCAGGUUGCCAAGCUAUGCGGGUCUCAUCCAGCUGUGGCCUUUAUCUCACCAGGCUCCCACAGUCACAGAGGGACCUGGUACUCACGUUCAAGUAUUUGAGCUCCCUGUCCUGGGCGGCUAUUCAACCCUCUACACCCUCCUCACUUACCCUCAAAGUCCCGGCCCCUGGGACAGACCUGGACUUGGUCUAGAACUCCAAGUCAUCUGGACAGAGGGUGGAGUCGCAGCUUGUCUUCUGUGUAUGGAGUGAACCUGUGUGGACGGUAGCCAGACAAUCUUGUCAGGGGUGAAAGCCGCCCAAUCUCCAAUUGCCUGUUCAACUUAAUUCAGGUCAAUGACUAUUUGCAAGCACCUACUACGUGGAGGGCAAAACUACAUGUCUAUUUUGACAGUUACUUCCAUCCUUUCCUGCUAUUCAAAUGCUAUCCAUCUGUGCAGAGGGGCAACAUCCCAGGUUUAUAUUAUAAAAAUUGCCCCUUUACUCUCCACAUUCUUCAUCUCUAUUGCUUCUCUGAUAAAGAAGCAAAGAAACUCCUUACGGUGUCAGUUAUAAUAUCUUUCACAGAGUCAGCACCCCCAAAUAUUGGACAAUAAAUGCACGAGUGAACUUCAACUUAAAAAAAAAUGUUUUACUGGCGAUUCAAUGGCCCCCUGAGAGGGUCAGGGUACAUUUCUAAAUUUUCCUCGGUUGCUGAGUCCAAGGAGUGGGUUUACUUUGACGCCUCUGGGUAAGCACCUCUGGGCAGCAGGGACACCCCUGCGGACAGCUCUCCUAUGUUGCAAUCAGGAGAAUUGAGAGGAAUCUACGGCUGGCUGUGUUUUCCCAGGCCUAUCUUUAUUGAUGGUUAUUAAAGACACACCAGCACACGGCAAUACGAAAGUACAAAGCAAUUCCCAGGGUAAGGUACGUGGGAAGGAGCGAGAUACUGAGCUCCCAAACAAUUCUACUGUAAUCGCAGUCUGCCAUAUCUACGUAUAGUUAAUAAGUAAGAUGUAAGCAGGCAGGUUCCACCACUGGGCAGCAGAUGGAAAGGAAAAAGGCCACGGGAGAGAUCACUGGUCCUGCUGGAAAAUUGGGAAAGAAAACAAGGAGGAUACCUGGGAAAGGUGAGUCUGGUGGGCAGUCACCAGGAGGUGCGGAAGCCUACACCUGGUCCCCAGGAAGGACCACUGCUCACCUCUUCUCCUGCCCUCACUCUCCCUAUGCAUGCCAGCCCCUCGUGGAAGAUUGCGUGUAACCAAGAAUAGGUAGGAAUCACGCCCAGACACACUGGGUUAAAAAAGUGUCAAUACAGCACACAAAAACACCUGUUUUUACAGAGUACCCCCAACACACCUGUUGUUUUACGAUGCCGAGUAUUAUUGAUAAAGGGGGCUGUAAAGUCGCGGUGAAAUGGCCUCUUAUAUUUAAAUAGCACCUUCCUCAAUGUUUUACAGCAGAGAUUUGACUGACCCGUUGAUUAUUUGUUAGGAAUGUUGAGCGCAUAUCUCUAUAUAUGUUCAGGGUGGCUAAAAAGCAAAGGCUCUAGAGCCUGACUGCCUGGGUUCACGUUCCAGCUUAUUCACUUUCUAGCUAUGUGACAUGACUAUUCUGUACCUCACUUUACUUGCCUGUUAAAUGGGGAGAAAUUCAUAGUACUUACCUUAUAGGAUUGUUAGGAGGACUAAUAUAUGGAAUAUGUUUAGAACAGUGCCAGGCAUAUUGGACAUACAAUAUAAGUUCUCAGAUGCUUUUAUCAUAUUGCUAUAUAUAUGCCAUAUAUAUGUUUAUAUUUAUAUCUGGCAUACAAGAUAGACACUCAUUCAUUUAAAAAAAUUCAUAUGUUAGUAUUCUCAAAGAAAUGGAUGGACGACCACUGUGAUAAUUGGUCCACAGGUAUUUGACAAAUCAAAAGCUUCAGCAGUCUUUUAUGAAUAAAAGGCUGUGGGACCAGGAGGAACCUAAAAAAUUAGCUGGCUUCUUCUUUUCCAGGGAGGAGGGUCUCUACCAUCUAAGCACUCUGGUGGCUUUGUUUGUGAGCAGGUGCAGACCUUGGUGUAGCCCUGCCUGGAAUAAUUAAAAUGAGCCUCAGGCCCAUGGAAAGUAGAGCUCUAGAUGGAGGCAAGGGCAUCGGCAGGGGCCAGGCACACAGGAUGUGGACUGGAGGUGGAUUUAUUCCCGCUCGCCGACAACACAAGGGACCGGAAGGGCUGUAGAGGGACACUUCAUCCAAAAGAGUAAACAUGGGCAGGCCCUCCCUGGAUGCCAGUCACACUUCCAUGAUGAGUGGGAAAGAUGAACGUCUGAGACCUUUCCUGCUUGUAGGUGCCCAUAUAAUUUAUGGUCUAAACUGGAACACUUUUGAGAGUGAAAACUAAUGCUAUUAACAAUUAUGUCAGGAUAAUUGGCAUAAAAACUGGGACACAUGACCAUCGUAGUUCUGUGGGCCUACAAUGGCAGGUCCUAGAUUGUUCAUCUGUCUAUUUAGGUAUCUUUUAUCAGAGAUGCUUCCUAAGAAGAAAAAAAAAAUUUUUGGCCGUGGCACGUGGCUUGCGGGAUCUUAGUUCCCCAACCAGGGAUUGAAUCCAGGCCCCCUGCAGUGGAAGCCUGGAGUCCUAACCAAUACACCGCCAGGGAAUUCCUAAGAAAUAUUAUUAUUAUUAUAUAUUUUUUUGGUACGCGGGCCUCUCACUGCUGCGGCCUCUCCCGUUGUAGAGCACAGGCUCCGGAUGCGCAGGCUCAGUGGCCAUGGCUCACGGGCCCAGCCGCUCUGCGGCAUGUGGGAUCUUCCCAGACCGGGGCACGAACCCGUGUCCCCUGCGUCGGCAGGCGGACCCUCAACCACUGCGCCACCAGGGAAGCCCGAAAUAUUAUUUUUAAGUCACUAAUGUUUUAGCAUUUCUUCAUCUUUGGAAGGUGAUGCCAUUGAUUUACCUUCCAUACAGGGAGGAGCCCCAGUUUUGAACCUAGGGGACCUUAGUGUGUUUAGGAGAAGGGACGGUCAGAGGGAGGCCCUGUGAUGGUUGGAUGGUUGUGCUUAAGGCAUGUUUGACAUGACUCGGUUUCUUCUUCGAUAGAGCAGGUGUGGUCCAAGCUUCCCCACCUGCGAGUUUGCACCCGGGUUAUGGCUACAGCAUAGCAAUGCUUCCAGGGACUCUUGCACUGACCAACCAUGGCUGAGUACAUCCAUUUUUCUUGGGCAUGUGAAUGUGGAAAAAGCGAUUGCUGCAAUUUGACACUCAGGCCAUUGGGUAAUGGCUGAAGGAAGACUCCAAAGGAAAGAACGUUUUCCCACCUGAAAUAUUUGCUCUUUUUGCUUUGAAUUUGACUAAGUCUUUAGUGGUAGAGAAAAACCAAAACCCACCCCAAAACCAAAAGCGGAACAAACAAACAAAAAUCACAUUUUUUUUUCUAAACAAUUCAAACUCAAGGUUUGGGCUUUGUUAAUUUCCUUAAAAAAAAAAAAAAGACAAGAAAGAAAAGAAAAAUGGCUCCUUCACCUGAGUGUUCUUAUAUGUGCCUAUUUAAUGAUUAAUAAUACCUUGUGGGCUACUGUUGGAUAUGGCCUCUGCUGGUUUGAACAGGAGAAUUCUGAUUCACACUUCAGGCAUUUAUGAAUCACAAGUGUUUACCCUGAGACAAUAAGUGAAAGGGGGGAGAUUAAAAAAAGAAAAACACCCAAAUAUGCUGGGUUCUUUGAGGAAAAACUGGAGAUAAUGUGGGCUCUCCGUCUUUGAUACCCUGUGCGGGGCCCACCGCUUUCUCUCACUGAAUAAAGAUUGUGUGGAGUGACCGCGACUGGGCCUUUUGAGUUUUAUAGAUUUUCCCUUUCAUUUGCUGAGCGGUCAGGCAACUCUUCCCCCUUGGUUUCCAUGUCACGUGCCUUCGUUUUCU
Orcinus orca (killer whale) is the source of this 6839-nucleotide long non-coding RNA. RefSeq lists it as uncharacterized. The transcript is spliced from 3 exons. Lineage: Eukaryota; Metazoa; Chordata; Mammalia; Artiodactyla; Delphinidae. The record is from RefSeq and is a predicted model, not a curated record.